RNAcentral lists this long non-coding RNA (1619 nucleotides) under Nicotiana tabacum (common tobacco). Its description in RNAcentral is "long non-coding RNA (NTAB_LNC011432)". The record is from RNAcentral. Lineage: Eukaryota; Viridiplantae; Streptophyta; Magnoliopsida; Solanales; Solanaceae.
UUCAAGCCAAGCUGUAGUCAAUAAAGCGACCGUGCUGGAACUACGGGACUUGGAAAAUGCCUUACACCUUCUCCCUGGUUAACAAAAUUCCUUACCCGGACUUUGUUUUCGCAAACCAAUAAUAAAAGAGUCAAAUCUUCCUUUAAAUAGGGAUUCAAAUAAAUGGUGACUUGGAACACCCAAAAAAUCAAUUCCAAGUGGCGGCUCUGUAAAUAAAAUAAUCCCUACUCAAAUUUGUCACUUUAGUUGGAAAAACUCUUUAACCCACAAUAAUCCAUACACAUAUCUUUUGUGGGGGAAAAUGAGUUGUGACAGGAUUCAAGAGUCAUAGAAUUAUAGUCAAGAGUCGUAGAAUUACCUGAAACAUUUGUAAAUAGUUACAACCAAGAGUCAUAGAAUUACAGCUAAGACUCAUGGACUGCCAAAAAGAUAAAUUGCAAAUUAUAUUGCACUCUACAUAUGAAUUAUCACCAACAUUUUAAGAGUAGACACUACAGCCAAGAGUCAUAGAAAAUAAAUAAAAAGAGAAUAUAUUAAACUCUAAGAAGUUGGGCAUCUUAAACCAGAGGAGCAUAUUCCAGAAUGUUAGUAAAGGCUUGAUGGCCCAAAUUUCAGUCUUUGGGAGAUUCAAUGUAGUUCCAUCCUUUUCCUUGGGAUAAUCUUUUGUAAUGCCUGAAAUAUUUGUAAAUAAUCAAAUACUUUAGGUUCAAAAGUAAAGAAACUAAUAGAACCUCCUUUUAAUUACCUUUAAGUAGUCAAGAUUUCAAAAAUAGUCCUGGAGAAAAUUAUAGUUAACUAUCCCUCUAAUCAAUCCUCAAAGGUGAGUCUGGAUAUUCUGAAAUAAAAGAAAUAAUUAACAUAUUUAAUAUUAAGUAAUACACAAAAAUAACUAUAUUUAUUACUAAUCGAAGAUAAAUUAUUACCUUCUUCAACUUGCUCAAUUUUCUGGACUUCCUCCAACAUUUCUUCAAAUUUGUAUUCCUUGGAAGGUGAUCGUAUCCAUUGUUGAGUACAAAUAAGAGCUUCUACUAUUUUUGGUGAUAAAAAACUCCGAUAAGAAUCAAGAACUCGACCACCUGUACUAAAAGCCGACUCAGAUGCAACAUUAGAAAUAGAAAUAGAAAGAACAUCCCUUGCAAUAUUUGAAACUAUUGAAUAUUUACUAGAUUAAGCUUUCCACCAUGUCAAGAUAUUAAAAUUCCUGGUCUUCACCACAUUAUCCAUCAAGUAUAUCUCAAGAUCAAAGCAAAAGUCUGUAAUAAACAAUAAAAAAAUAGAGGAACACAAACUAAUUUAUUUUCAAUGCAAUACAGAAGUUCUGGUUUUCUUUCUUUCCUACUUUCUUUCUUUCUAAGGUUGAAAAACAAAUUAAAAGGUCACCGAUAAUACCUGAAAUCAAGAUGAUAAACUUGUCUUAAAUGGAGGUUGAUAAUGACGACUUGAACAAAGCUUGAACUUAAUCUAAACAGAGGUUGUCGAUGACGACUUGAACAAACCUUGAAUUUGAAGGCUGGUUGCUUUCAUGAAAUGAAUGCACAACUAAUGGCAUUAGGGAUUUAGUCGUACAAUUUAUGACAUUGGGGAUUUAGGGUGUAAUUUGCUUUGGGCUUGGGCUUAUU